This 353-nucleotide unclassified non-coding RNA is filed under the name soil metagenome. RNAcentral's name for it is "partial contains 5.8S ribosomal RNA, internal transcribed spacer 2, and large subunit ribosomal RNA". The stretch from base 1 to 120 matches the Rfam family "5.8S ribosomal RNA", at positions 35 to 154 of the family's 154-position model. The record is from RNAcentral.
GAUGAAGAACGUAGCGAAAUGCGAUAAGUAAUGUGAAUUGCAGAAUUCAGUGAAUCAUCGAAUCUUUGAACGCACAUUGCGCCCGCCAGUAUUCUGGCGGGCAUGCCUGUCCGAGCGUCAUUUCAACCCUCGAACCCCUCCGGGGGGUCGGCGUUGGGGAUCGGCCCUUUCACGGGGUGCCGUCCCCCAAAUACAGUGGCGGUCUCGCCGCAGCCUCUCAUGCGCAGUAGUUUGCACACUCGCACCGGGAGCGCGGCGCGUCCACGUCCGUAAAACACCCCAAACUUCUGAAAUGUUGACCUCGGAUCAGGUAGGAAUACCCGCUGAACUUAAGCAUAUCAAUAAGCGGAGGA